This 587-nucleotide long non-coding RNA is filed under the name Olea europaea (common olive). RNAcentral's name for it is "long non-coding RNA (OEUR_LNC005420)". The record is from RNAcentral. Lineage: Eukaryota; Viridiplantae; Streptophyta; Magnoliopsida; Lamiales; Oleaceae.
UUAUAUACAUAUACGCACAGAAAGAGAGGCAAAAAGGGAGUUAAAAAAGGUUUUUGGCUGCUUGGAAUAGAGAGAUAGCAUUGAAAUCUCUUUUGGGGACUAUACAUACACAAUUCGACUGCCAGUAGAGAUAAGAAGUGGGCUGCAUACAUAUAAGCAGUUAUUGCAACGAUAAAAAAUAGUCAAUAUUCUUGGGAAAAAAAGGGCUGCCGGUUGUUGAAAGCAAAGAAAUAAACAUAUUGGCAGCAGCCUAUGGGAAGAAAAAAAAAAAAAAAGAAGCAGCUUUGGGAAGAGAAUAUACAAGCAUACAUAGGGCCACUGGCUAGGAGGAAAAACAAAGAAUUCAGAGCCAUUAAUAUAUCUUUACACGCAACCGAAGCUGAAAUUAAUAAAGGGCAACACACGGAAAGAAAAACGAAGAAGAAAAAAAAGACGGCGGAUUCGCUUUGCACGUUUUGUCAAAUUUUUGUGACGUCUUUUAACUUUUGAAUGUUUAAUUUCGAAAAUAUGCUUGGCUAAUUUUUCAUAUUGUUGGGAUGUGAUGAACCCUUUUUAUGAAGUUUUUAGUUUGAAUAAUUAAAUUGACG